GCCCAGGUAACUCAUUUGGUUAGAGUGUUGUCCUGAUAUGCCAAGACUGUGAGUUUGAUCCCCAGUCUAGGCA
This 73-nucleotide transfer RNA is filed under the name Myotis davidii. It matches the Rfam family "tRNA". Rfam says of the family: Transfer RNA (tRNA) molecules are approximately 80 nucleotides in length. Their secondary structure includes four short double-helical elements and three loops (D, anti-codon, and T loops). Further hydrogen bonds mediate the characteristic L-shaped molecular structure. tRNAs have two regions of fundamental functional importance: the anti-codon, which is responsible for specific mRNA codon recognition, and the 3' end, to which the tRNAs corresponding amino acid is attached (by aminoacyl-tRNA synthetases). tRNAs cope with the degeneracy of the genetic code in two manners: having more than one tRNA (with a specific anti-codon) for a particular amino acid; and 'wobble' base-pairing, i.e. permitting non-standard base-pairing at the 3rd anti-codon position. Lineage: Eukaryota; Metazoa; Chordata; Mammalia; Chiroptera; Vespertilionidae. The record is from Rfam by way of RNAcentral.